Molecule: small nuclear RNA, 104 nt
Organism: Molossus molossus (Pallas's mastiff bat)
Lineage: Eukaryota; Metazoa; Chordata; Mammalia; Chiroptera; Molossidae
Source: RefSeq, a predicted model, not a curated record
GCGCUCGCCGUGCCAGCACCUUUACUAGAACUGCAACCAGCCGGCGAAGAUUAGCAGGGCCCCUGUGCAAGGACACACAAGCUCAUGAAGCGUUCCAUACGUAU